UAACAAAAUCCUAAUUAUUUAAGCAAAAUAGAAAAAAUAUGGAUCAAGUACUCAUGCUUGUUUAUGCUUUGAACAUCUUUGUUUCUCUAAUUCUUGUUGAAGCAAGUAACAUGCAAAGAACAAGCUAUCAUUGUAAUGCUGACCAUGAUUGUCCAUAUUUUAUAAAUUAUUUUUAUAGGUGCUUUGGUCAUCUUUGUCACUACUUGAAUAUGCAUCCCCAAACCCGGACAAAUUUUCAUUAGAUAAAGUAGAAGAGUCUCUUGUAACAGUUUCUCAAAAGUGGUAAUUGGAAAUGACUUUUUGAAAAUGUCUUCAAGACUA
This is a long non-coding RNA of Vicia villosa (hairy vetch), 321 nucleotides long. RefSeq lists it as uncharacterized. The record is from RefSeq and is a predicted model, not a curated record. The transcript has 2 exons. NCBI's taxonomy places the organism in Eukaryota, Viridiplantae, Streptophyta, Magnoliopsida, Fabales, Fabaceae.